UAGGGAAUCUUCGGCAAUGGACGAAAGUCUGACCGAGCAACGCCGCGUGAGUGAAGAAGGUUUUCGGAUCGUAAAACUCUGUUGUUAGAGAAGAACAAGGACGUUAGUAACUGAACGUCCCCUGACGGUAUCUAACCAGAAAGCCACGGCUAACUACGUGCCAGCAGCCGCGGUAAUACGUAGGUGGCAAGCGGUGUCCGGAUUUAUUGGGCGUAAAGCGAGCGCAGGCGGUUUCUUAAGUCUGAUGUGAAAGCCCCCGGCUCAACCGGGGAGGGUCAUUGGAAACUGGGAGAAUUGAGUGCAGAAGAGGAGAGUGGAAUUCCAUGUGUAGCGGUGAAAUGCGUAGAUAUAUGGAGGAACACCAGUGGAGAAGGCGGCUCUCUGGUAUGUAACUGACGCUGAGGCUAGAAAGCGUGGGGAGCAAACAGG
Molecule: ribosomal RNA, 429 nt
Filed under: Gemmatimonadota bacterium
Lineage: Bacteria; Pseudomonadati; Gemmatimonadota
Description: Gemmatimonadetes bacterium partial 16S ribosomal RNA
Rfam family: Bacterial small subunit ribosomal RNA
Source: RNAcentral